This 695-nucleotide ribosomal RNA is filed under the name uncultured Staphylococcus sp. RNAcentral's name for it is "bacterial SSU rRNA". It matches the Rfam family "Bacterial small subunit ribosomal RNA", at positions 46 to 722 of the family's 1533-position model. The record is from RNAcentral. Lineage: Bacteria; Bacillati; Bacillota; Bacilli; Caryophanales; Staphylococcaceae.
GCCUAAUACAUGCAAGUCGAGCGAACAGACGAGGAGCUUGCUCCUCUGACGUUAGCGGCGGACGGGUGAGUAACACGUGGGUAACCUACCUAUAAGACUGGGAUAACUCCGGGAAACCGGGGCUAAUACCGGAUAAUACAUGAAACCGCAUGGUUUCAUGAUGAAAGACGGUUUUGCUGUCACUUAUAGAUGGACCCGCGGCGUAUUAGCUAGUUGGUAAGGUAACGGCUUACCAAGGCAACGAUACGUAGCCGACCUGAGAGGGUGAUCGGCCACACUGGAACUGAGACACGGUCCAGACUCCUACGGGAGGCAGCAGUAGGGAAACUUCCGCAAUGGGCGAAAGCCUGACGGAGCAACGCCGCGUGAGUGAUGAAGGUCUUCGGAUCGUAAAACUCUGUUAUUAGGGAAGAACAAGGAUGUAAGUAACUGUGCAUCCCUUGACGGUACCUAAUCAGAAAGCCACGGCUAACUACGUGCCAGCAGCCGCGGUAAUACGUAGGUGGCAAGCGUUAUCCGGAAUUACUUGGGCGUAAAGCGCGCGUAGGCGGUUUUUUAAGUCUGAUGUGAAAGCCCACGGCUCAACCGUGGAGGGUCAUUGGAAACUGGAAAACUCGAGUGCAGAAGAGGAAAGUGGAAUUCCAUGUGUAGCGGUGAAAUGCGCAGAGAUAUGGAGGAACACCAGUGGCGAAGGC